AGUGCUGUGGCGAAGCGGGUUAACGCCCUGGCCUGAAGUGCCGGCAUCCCAUAUAGGCCCUGGUUCUAGUCCCGGCUGCUUUA
This 83-nucleotide transfer RNA is filed under the name Oryctolagus cuniculus (rabbit). It matches the Rfam family "tRNA". From Rfam's summary of the family: Transfer RNA (tRNA) molecules are approximately 80 nucleotides in length. Their secondary structure includes four short double-helical elements and three loops (D, anti-codon, and T loops). Lineage: Eukaryota; Metazoa; Chordata; Mammalia; Lagomorpha; Leporidae. The record is from Rfam by way of RNAcentral.